CGCUUCGCCAGGCCCUAUCAUGCAGUCGAACGGUGUCUUCGGACAUAGUGGCGCACGGGUGCGUAACACGUAUGCAACCUACCUUACAUUGGGGGAUAGCCUUUCGAAAGGGAGAUUAAUACCGCAUAAGACAGUAGCUGGGCAUCCAGCAGCUGUUAAAGAUUUAUCGAUGUAAGCUGGGCAUGCGUCCAAUUAGCUAGUUGGUGAGGUAACGGCUCACCAAGGCUAUGAUUGGUAGGGGAACUGAGAGGUCAAUCCCCCACACUGGCACUGAGAUACGGGCCAGACUCCUACGGGAGGCAGCAGUAGGGAAUAUUGGGCAAUGGACGCAAGUCUGACCCAGCCAUGCCGCGUGCAGGAUGAAGGCGUUAUGCGUUGUAAACUGCUUUUAUACAGGAAGAAACGACUCUUGCGAGAGGCAUUGACGGUACUGUAUGAAUAAGCACCGGCUAACUCCGUGCCAGCAGCCGCGGUAAUACGGAGGGUGCAAGCGUUGUCCGGAUUUAUUGGGUUUAAAGGGUGCGCAGGUGGUUUAUUAAGUCAGUGGUGAAAGACGGUCGCUCAACGAUUGCAGUGCCAUUGAAACUGGUAGACUUGAGUAAAGUAGAGGUGGGCGGAAUUGAUAGUGUAGCGGUGAAAUGCAUAGAUAUUAUCAAGAACUCCAAUUGCGUAGGCAGCUCACUUGGCUUUUACUGACACUCAUGCACGAAAGUGUGGGUAUCAAACAGGAUUAGAUACCCUGGUAGUCCACACUGUAAACGAUGAUAACUAGGUGUCGGCCGAAUCUGGUCGGUGCCACAGCGAAAGCGUUAAGUUAUCCACCUGGGGAGUACGCCGGCAACGGUGAAACUCAAAGGAAUUGACGG
Molecule: ribosomal RNA, 866 nt
Filed under: uncultured Bacteroidota bacterium
Lineage: Bacteria; Pseudomonadati; Bacteroidota
Description: bacterial SSU rRNA
Rfam family: Bacterial small subunit ribosomal RNA
Source: RNAcentral